CCGGGGGAGGGUCCAUUGGAACUGGGGGAACUUGAGUGCAGAAAGAGGAGAGUGGAAAUUCCACGUGUAGCCGGUGGAAAUGCGUAGAGAAUGUGGAGGGAACACCAGUGGCGGAAGGCGAACUCUCUGGUCUGUAAACUGACGGUGAGGAGCGAAAAGCGUUGGGGAGCGAAACAGGAUUAGAUACCCCUGGUUAGUCCACGCCCGUAAAACGAUGAAGUGCUAAGUGUUAGGGGGUUUCCGCCCCCUUAGUGCUGCAGCUAACGCAUUAAGCACUCCGCCUGGGGAGUACGGUCGCAAGACUGAAACUCAAAGGAAUUGACGGGGGCCCGCACAAGCGGUGGAGCAUGUGGUUUAAUUCGAAGCAACGCGAAGAACCUUACCAGGUCUUGACAUCCUCUGACAAUCCUAGAGAUAGGACGUCCCCUUCGGGGGCAGAGUGACAGGUGGUGCAUGGUUGUCGUCAGCUCGUGUCGUGAGAUGUUGGGUUAAGUCCCGCAACGAGCGCAACCCUUGAUCUUAGUUGCCAGCAUUCAGUUGGGCACUCUAAGGUGACUGCCGGUGACAAACCGGAGGAAGGUGGGGAUGACGUCAAAUCAUCAUGCCCCUUAUGACCUGGGCUACACACGUGCUACAAUGGACAGAACAAAGGGCAGCGAAACCGCGAGGUUAAGCCAAUCCCACAAAUUUUUUGGCAGUUCGGAUCGCAGUCUGCAACUCGACUGCGUGAAGCUGGAAUCGCUAGUAAUCGCGGAUCAGCCUUCUUUUUUUUUUACGUUCCCGGGCCUUGUACACACC
Molecule: ribosomal RNA, 798 nt
Filed under: Bacillus sp. (in: firmicutes)
Lineage: Bacteria; Bacillati; Bacillota; Bacilli; Caryophanales; Bacillaceae
Description: bacterial SSU rRNA
Rfam family: Bacterial small subunit ribosomal RNA
Source: RNAcentral